AGCAGCCGCGGUAAUUCCAGCUCCAAUAGCGUAUAUUAAAGUUGUUGCAGUUAAAAAGCUCGUAGUUGAAUUUCGGGAUUGACGUGAUGGUCAUGCCUUAAGGGGUAUGAACUGUCACAGUUGAUUUCUCACCUUCUGGAGAAACUUGAUGUCCUUUAUUGGGUGUCUUGCGGAUCCAGGACCUUUACCUUGAAAAAAUUAGAGUGUUUAAAGCAGGCAUUUUUGCUCGAAUACAUUAGCAUGGAAUAAUAGAAUAGGACGGCAUGGUUCUAUCUUGUUGGUUUCUAGGAUCACCGUAAUGAUUAAUAGGGAUAGUUGGGGGCAUUAGUAUUCAAUUGUCAGAGGUGAAAUUCUUGGAUUUAUUGAAGACUAACUACUGCGAAAGCAUUUGCCAAGGAUGUUUUCAUUAAUCAAGAACGAAAGUUAGGGGAUCGAAGACGAUCAGAUACCGUCGUAGUCUUAACCAUAAACUAUGCCGACUAGGAAUCAGACGAUGUUAAUUUUUUAAUGACUCGUUUGGCACCUUACG
RNAcentral lists this ribosomal RNA (529 nucleotides) under uncultured Glomus. Its description in RNAcentral is "SSU rRNA". It matches the Rfam family "Eukaryotic small subunit ribosomal RNA", at positions 569 to 1092 of the family's 1831-position model. Lineage: Eukaryota; Fungi; Glomeromycota; Glomeromycetes; Glomerales; Glomeraceae. The record is from RNAcentral.